Molecule: long non-coding RNA, 464 nt
Organism: Monodelphis domestica (gray short-tailed opossum)
Lineage: Eukaryota; Metazoa; Chordata; Mammalia; Didelphimorphia; Didelphidae
Source: RefSeq, a predicted model, not a curated record
CCUGAGUUCAAGUCUAAUUUCCUAGAGCUCAAAGCACCUAAAGCAAUGAGUUGCAGGAAGGAUGUCAACUAGCACUGGUAAAGGAAGCCUAAACUAGAAAAGAGGUCUUGACUCAAGUCAUAUUCUCUUGCCUUCACCACAAUGCCUCACUGGCAGGACCUGAUUUAGAUAUGGCCAAAACAUGACAAAUAAGAAACUAUUGAAAAAAAAAAGAAGACUAAAGGAUGGCAUCCAAGAAUUGAAUAACUGUAAGAGGAGCUGGUUACCUGGCAAAGAGACAUAACCUAAUGGGCGGUUGAUGUAUAUUCCACUGAUAUAGGGUUUAAAUUAAGGUCUCAGAGUGACAGCAAUGAUUGUAAAGAGAAAAUCCAGUCUGUGGGAGGAUAGAGCCCAAUGUCGACUUUCAACUUCAGCAUAUCUUCUUCACCAACACUGUGAAGGCUGGGAAACUAAUAAAAAUAAUU